UACGUAGGGUGCAAGCGUUGUCCGGAAUUAUUGGGCGUAAAGAGCUCGUAGGCGGUCUGUCGCGUCUGCUGUGAAACUCAGGGCUUAACCCUGAGCUUGCAGUGGGUACGGGCAGACUAGAGUGGCGGUAGGGGAGACUGGAAUUCCUGGUGUAGCGGUGAAAUGCGCAGAUAUCAGGAGGAACACCGAGUGGCGAAGGCAGGUCUCUGGGCAUUAACUGAC
This 222-nucleotide ribosomal RNA is filed under the name uncultured bacterium. Its description in RNAcentral is "partial 16S ribosomal RNA". It matches the Rfam family "Bacterial small subunit ribosomal RNA", at positions 524 to 744 of the family's 1533-position model. The record is from RNAcentral.